CUUUCCAACUUAUUAAUCCAGUGAACAAUAAUUAAUCAAGAAAGUACAGCAUCACAAUGAUUUAUGAUAAUAAUAGCUGAUGCUGAACUCAAAAAACACUCAAAAGGGGAAAAAGAAAUAACCUCUUGAAUUCUAUUAAUUCUCAGUGAUCAAUAUCAAUAAUAAUAAACUCUACAUAAAUAAUUAGAUGACAUAGGUAUUUAUAUUAAUAACUAGUCCUACUAGUACU
Molecule: unclassified non-coding RNA, 229 nt
Filed under: Hevea brasiliensis (rubber tree)
Lineage: Eukaryota; Viridiplantae; Streptophyta; Magnoliopsida; Malpighiales; Euphorbiaceae
Source: RNAcentral